Molecule: ribosomal RNA, 301 nt
Filed under: uncultured bacterium
Lineage: Bacteria
Description: partial 16S ribosomal RNA
Rfam family: Bacterial small subunit ribosomal RNA
Source: RNAcentral
CAGUCGCCGCGGUAAUACGAAGGGUGUAAGCGUUAAUCGGAAUUACUGGGCGUAAAGCGCACGCAGGCGGUUUGUUAAGUCAGAUGUGAAAUCCCCGAGCUUAACUUGGGAACUGCAUUUGAAACUGGCAAGCUAGAGUCUUGUAGAGGGGGGUAGAAUUCCAGGUGUAGCGGUGAAAUGCGUAGAGAUCGGGAGGAACAUCAGUGGCGAAGGCGGCCAUCUGGGACAACACUGACACUGAGGCACGAAAGCGUGGGGAGCAAACAGGAUUAGAUACCCCGGUAGUCCCUGUCUCUUAUAC